Molecule: ribosomal RNA, 397 nt
Filed under: uncultured bacterium
Lineage: Bacteria
Description: partial 16S ribosomal RNA
Rfam family: Bacterial small subunit ribosomal RNA
Source: RNAcentral
AUACGUAGGGGGCGAGCGUUGUCCGGAAUGAUUGGGCGUAAAGGGCGCGUAGGCGGCCCGGUAAGUCUGGAGUGAAAGUCCUGUUUUUAAGAUGAGAAUUGCUUUGGAUACUGUCGGGCUUGAGUGCAGGAGAGGUAAGUGGAAUUCCCAGUGUAGCGGUGAAAUGCGUAGGGAUUGGGAGGAACACCAGUGGCGAAGGCGACUUACUGGACUGUAACUGACGCUGAGGCGCGAAAGUGUGGGGAGCAAACAGGAUUAGAUACCCUGGUAGUCCACACUGUAAACGAUGAAUGCUAGGUGUAGGGGGUAUCGACCCCUUCUGUGCCGCAGUCAUCACAAUAAGCAUUCCGCCUGGGGAGUACUGCCGCAAGGUUGAAACUCAAAUGAAUUGACGUGG